RNAcentral lists this ribosomal RNA (443 nucleotides) under uncultured bacterium. RNAcentral's name for it is "partial 16S ribosomal RNA". It matches the Rfam family "Bacterial small subunit ribosomal RNA", at positions 338 to 795 of the family's 1533-position model. The record is from RNAcentral.
CCUACGGGAGGCUGCAGUGGGGAAUAUUGGUCAAUGGGCGCAAGCCUGACCCAGCAACGCCGCGUGAAGGAAGAAGGCUUUCGGGUUGUAAACUUCUUUUCUCAGGGACGAAGCAAGCGACGGUCCCUGAGCCCUAAGCCACGGCUAACUACGUGCCAGCAGCCGCGGUAAUCCGUAGGUGGCAAGCGUUCUCCGGAUUUACUGGGUGUAAAGGGCGUGUAGGCGGGAAAGCAAGUCAGAUGUGAACACCAUGGGCUCAACCUGUGGCCUGCAUUUGAAACUGUUGUUCUUGAGUACGGGAGAGGUAGACGGAAUGCGUAGUGUAGCGGUGAAAUGCGUAGAUAUUAGGAGGAACACCAGUGGCGAAGGCGGUGUGCUGGACAGCAACUGACGCUGAGGCGCGAAAGCGUGGGGAGCGAACAGGAUUAGAUACCCCAGUAGUC